Molecule: microRNA, 16 nt
Filed under: Corchorus olitorius
Lineage: Eukaryota; Viridiplantae; Streptophyta; Magnoliopsida; Malvales; Malvaceae
Description: bta-miR-29
Source: RNAcentral
AAUGACUGAAAGGGAC